RNAcentral lists this ribosomal RNA (375 nucleotides) under uncultured organism. Its description in RNAcentral is "partial 16S ribosomal RNA". It matches the Rfam family "Bacterial small subunit ribosomal RNA", at positions 527 to 896 of the family's 1533-position model. The record is from RNAcentral.
GUAGGGGGCGAGCGUUGUCCGGAUUUAUUGGGCGUAAAGGGCUCGUAGGCGGUUCAGCAAGUCAACCGUGAAAACCCGGGGCUCAACCCUGGGACGCCGGUCGAAACUGCUGUGACUAGGGUCCGGUAGAGGUGAGUGGAAUUCUCGGUGUAGCGGUGAAAUGCGCAGAUAUCGAGAGGAACACCAGUAGCGAAGGCGGCUCACUGGGCCGGUACCGACGCUGAGGAGCGAAAGCGUGGGGAGCAAACAGGAUUAGAUACCCUGGGUAGUCCACGCCGUAAACGUUGAACACUAGGUGUGGCGGACUUAUCCACGUCUGCCGCGCCGCAGCUAACGCAUUAAGUGUUCCGCCUGGGGAGUACGGCCGCAAGGCUA